UCAUGGCUCAGGACGAACGCUGGCGGCGUGCCUAAUACAUGCAAGUCGAACGCGUCUUGGUUAUUGAUGUUAGAUGCUUGCAUUUAACUGAUUUAACAUUGAGACGAGUGGCGAACUGGUGAGUAACACGUGGGUAACCUGCCCUUGAAGUAGGGGAUAACACUUGGAAACAGGUGCUAAUACCGUAUAACAACCAAAACCACCUGGUUUUGGUUUAAAAGAUGGCUUCGGCUAUCACUUUAGGAUGGACCCGCGGCGUAUUAGCUUGUUGGUAAGGUAACGGCCUACCAAGGCAAUGAUACGUAGCCGACCUGAGAGGGUAAUCGGCCACAUUGGGACUGAGACACGGCCCAAACUCCUACGGGAGGCAGCAGUAGGGAAUCUUCCACAAUGGACGAAAGUCUGAUGGAGCAACGCCGCGUGAGUGAUGAAGGGUUUCGGCUCGUAAAACUCUGUUGUUGGAGAAGAACAGGUGUGAGAGUAACUGUUCACAUCUUGACGGUAUCCAACCAGAAAGCCACGGCUAACUACGUGCCAGCAGCCGCGGUAAUACGUAGGUGGCAAGCGUUGUCCGGAUUUAUUGGGCGUAAAGCGAGCGCAGGCGGUUUCUUAGGUCUGAUGUGAAAGCCUUCGGCUUAACCGGAGAAGUGCAUCGGAAACCAGGAGACUUGAGUGCAGAAGAGGACAGUGGAACUCCAUGUGUAGCGGUGAAAUGCGUAGAUAUAUGGAAGAACACCAGUGGCGAAGGCGGCUGUCUGGUCUGUAACUGACGCUGAGGCUCGAAA
This 785-nucleotide ribosomal RNA is filed under the name Lentilactobacillus parabuchneri. Its description in RNAcentral is "bacterial SSU rRNA". It matches the Rfam family "Bacterial small subunit ribosomal RNA", at positions 17 to 758 of the family's 1533-position model. Lineage: Bacteria; Bacillati; Bacillota; Bacilli; Lactobacillales; Lactobacillaceae. The record is from RNAcentral.